UACGUAGGGGGCAAGCGUUGUCCGGAUUUAUUGGGCGUAAAGAGCGUGUAGGCGGCUAGAUAGGUCCGUUGUGAAAACUCGAGGCUCAACCUCGAGACGCCGAUGGAAACCAUCUAGCUAGAGUCCGGAAGAGGAGAAUGGAAUUCCUGGUGUAGCGGUGAAAUGCGCAGAUAUCAGGAAGAACACCAAUAGCGAAGGCAGCUCGCUGGGACGUUACUGACACUGAGGCGCGAAAGCGUGGGGAGCGAACAGG
RNAcentral lists this ribosomal RNA (253 nucleotides) under uncultured bacterium. RNAcentral's name for it is "partial 16S ribosomal RNA". It matches the Rfam family "Bacterial small subunit ribosomal RNA", at positions 524 to 776 of the family's 1533-position model. The record is from RNAcentral.